AGGCAGGAACUAACAGGAUUCCCCUAGUAACUGCGAGUGAAGCGGGAAAAGCUCAAAUUUAAAAUCUGGCUUAGCUUCGCCGCCCGAGUUGUAAUCUAGAGAAGCAUUAUCAGCGCUCGCGGCGUGUACAAGUGUCCUGGAAUGGACCAUCAUAGAGGGUGACAAUCCCGUCUUUGACACGGCUGCCUUUAGUGCUAUUGAUGUGCUCUCAACGAGUCGAGUUGUUUGGGAAUGCAGCUCUAAAUGGGUGGUAAGUUCCAUCUAAAGCUAAAUAUUGGCGAGAGACCGAUAGCGAACAAGUACCGUGAGGGAAAGAUGAAAAGAACUUUGGAAAGAGAGUUAAACAGUACGUGAAAUUGCUGAAAGGGAAACGCUUGAAGUCGGUCGCGUUGGCUGGGUAAAUUCGAGAAAUCAACCUUGCUUUCUUGAAAGCUUGGCUUAUUUCCCAGCUGACGGGCCAGCAUCAGUUUUGACCGGUGGAUAAAGGCCAAGGGAAUGUGGCACCUCUUGGGGUGUGUUAUAGCCCUCGGUCAUAUACAUCGGUUGGGACUGAGGAACUCAGCACUUGUUGCUUAGGAUGCUGGCAUAAAGGCUUUAAGCGACCCGUCUUGAAACACGGACCAAGGAGUCUAACAUGCCCGCGAGUGUUUGGGUGGAAAACCCGAGCGCGCAAUGAAAGUGAAAGUUGAGAUCCCUGUCAUGGGGAGCAUCAAUGCCUGGACCAGAGCUUUUGUGAUGGAUCCACGGUAGAGCGUGUAUGUUGGGACCCGAAAGAUGGUGAACUAUGCCUGAAUAGGGUGAAGCCAGAGGAAACUCUGGUGGAGGCUUGUAGCGAUUCUGACGUGCAAAUCGAUCGUCAAAUUUGGGUAUAGGGGCGAAAGACUAAUCGAACCAUCUAGUAGCUGGUUCCUGCCGAGUUUCCCCUCAGGGA
Molecule: ribosomal RNA, 931 nt
Filed under: Termitomyces intermedius
Lineage: Eukaryota; Fungi; Basidiomycota; Agaricomycetes; Agaricales; Lyophyllaceae
Description: eukaryotic LSU rRNA
Rfam family: Eukaryotic large subunit ribosomal RNA
Source: RNAcentral